RNA transcript from Melozone crissalis (California towhee), 375 nucleotides. It is a transcript of the gene named metabotropic glutamate receptor 8-like, with no coding region annotated. Lineage: Eukaryota; Metazoa; Chordata; Aves; Passeriformes; Passerellidae. The record is from RefSeq and is a predicted model, not a curated record. The transcript is spliced from 2 exons.
GACAACAACACUGACUAUCUCCAUGAGUUUAAGUGCUUCUGUGUCUCUGGGCAUGCUCUACAUGCCCAAGGUUUAUAUUAUCAUUUUUCAUCCAGAGCAGAAUGUUCAAAAACGGAAGAGGAGCUUCAAGGCUGUGGUGACAGCUGCUACAAUGCAAAGCAAACUGUCACAGAAAGGGAAUGACAGACCAAAUGGAGAAGUCAAGACUGAACUGUGUGAAAGUCUUGAAACCAACAGUAAGUCAUCUGUAGACUUGGUCAAGAGUGGCAGCACAUCUUAAUAGAUCCUCCUCUACCAAGACAACUUAUGUCAGUUACAGCAAUCAGGCAAACUGAGCAGGGAUGAAAUUCACUGGAAGAUCUGCAGGACUGGAUC